UUUAAUUUUUACUGAUUCCCCGAUUUUUGGUGUGGUAAAUCUCUGGUUACAGUUUAAAUUCAACCCCGAAAGUGCAAAGACUUACAUAUCACGCGGAGUAAAUAAGAAAAUAUUGUGUAAGAAAAAUAAGAAGUUUUUUUUAUUAGGAAGGAAACGCUGAGCCAGAGAAAUUAAAAUAACUUUUUAUUAUGCUCGAAUUUGGGCCAUUUAGGCGAGCAUUUUAUAGUAUUAAAAGGUGUACGUCAAGGUUCUCAAAACAAUUAAAAGAGACACAUUCACUUGCACAACAACCGGAAGCAAUUUUGGAAUAUGCCGCAAAAUGGAGGGAAUCAAUUUGAAUUCCUAUCGAAAAAGACAACUUAUUGGACUUCAAAAAAAGACACAUCCUUCUUCAACUAUUCAAAGUCCAACCACGAGCGUCAACAUGACUAAAGAUCUCCAAGAAGUGGAUGAACGAUGAAAUAGAGGAAAAUUCCAUAGAUGUCAUCCUAAUGUGCCUAAUGGAUGGGUUCUGUUCCAAACAAUAACGGACACGAUUAAGUUCACCAUAUACAUAUCGUCGGCGUAAAGCAAAAUUGUUCUAUGUCCUUAAGAAAUCCUAUGUACUUAAAACAAUUUUGCUUUACACCGACGAUAUAUUAUUCAAAAUGUUCAAUUAAUUUAAUUUUUUUAUUCGAUGUAUUUAAUUUAGAAU
Molecule: long non-coding RNA, 694 nt
Organism: Episyrphus balteatus (marmalade hoverfly)
Lineage: Eukaryota; Metazoa; Arthropoda; Insecta; Diptera; Syrphidae
Exons: 3
Source: RefSeq, a predicted model, not a curated record